CAGCUAUUUAAACUCAAGAUGAAAAAUUUAAAAUACCAAAAAUUUUAAGGGAUCCCUUCAGAGUGGAGGAGGAAAAAAAACUGUCAAGGGGGAUAUAUAAUGUUUCAACAUUAUUUUAGGGGACAUGCAAUGCAGGCAAAAUGCUUGAAGACUCCUGAGCUGGACAGCAUUUGUGUUCCUUUCAACUCUUUGGAUUUUGUGGAUGGGGUCUAAGAGGUUACCCUGGUGAGUGGGCACUGCAAGGAGCAGGACACCUGCCUCCAAAUGUAAAGGUUCAUUUACAAGCAAGUCUCCCAACAAAACAAAGUAGAAACAAGCCACCAAAUACGACCCACCACCUCCUUCUCUUACACACACACACACACACACACACACACACACAGCAGACCCCCCAAGUCCCCCAGUAGUGGUUCCAGUAUAGGCCGUUCAUGAACCUGUGGAAAAACAUGAGCUUUGUUAGCAAUGUGGGAUGAUCUGAUCCCUGGGAAAUCUCUAGAGCUGGGAGUGGCCUCAAAGAGGAUCAUUAAAGAUCAAAAACUCCACUUGAAGUUGUCUGCUCUGCUGCAGUGUAAAUCCUCUUGGCUGAGCAGCCCUUGACAGAGUCUGCUGCCUGCACAGAAGUCUUAGAUGGUUGUUUGGUUUGGUUUCUGUGGAAAUCAAGGCGAGGGUCCGAGUUCCACAUCUCUGAGUGCAGACCCAGGACAGUGUACACGGGAUGGCAAAGUGACUCAUACUGAAAGAACCCAGUGGAAGCAGAAGCUAGGAGCCAGAGGUGAGAACAUAAGCCUCCCCACCCCCAGCUGGAGAAUAUGGAGACAUCCUGGGGGCAGUGGCCUUUCCAGGCACAUAGACCUGAGGUCGGAGUUCAUGAGCUUGCAUUUUGUCAUUCAUGAGGAGCCCAGCUUGCUUAUAUUCAGCCCUGCAUAGAUUCCUCAUGCUGUUGUCCUACUCCAGGUGUCAGGAAUAGCUCGGCCCUUCCCAGAGGCAGCAAGAGGGCAAGAAGGACAGAGGAGACUGAGCUGGCAGGUCUCUAAAUGACCUCAAGUCACCACAGCCACUGGUGCUGAAGGAAAUGGGAAAAUAGUCCCGUGACCCAGCGAGUGCUUCCCAUGCAGGAGGACGUAUGACACAGCCCCACCUACAUGCAAGGGGAGCCAGGAAGUGCAAUCCCUGGCUGGGCUGCCAUGUCUCAGAAACCAUUAAGCCUAUGGAAGGUCUCUGGAUUUGAUGGCAAAUAGCAGCAGAAAUAUGGAAAAGAUCAAAGUGAUGUCAAGGUUGAUCUCUGAGUUUGGCAGGGCUGAACUCAAACAUCAUUCGCCAUGGACCCACAGUGUCUUUAGUAGCUGAGUAGGGUCAUUCCCCUGUGAUAUGUGCACUCAAUUGCUAGCCAGUUUUGAAGAUAUUGAGUAUCUGGUUUCCCCUUCCCCACACUGGCCCUCACUGAGAUCCAUGUCUAAUAUUAUGAAAGUCAUACAUUAUCAUUAUGAAAUAAUCAUAAAUGUCAGUGUGCUACAAAAACUUAUUCAGAAAACAUUCAGAUUCUCCCAUCAACAUAUGCCACUAUGCUGGCAAAAGCUCUGAUUUAAAAUACUUAUUUCAUUUUCCUCUCUGAUUUUGUUCUAGUCUUCAAAAUGAUUUCAUACAACAAAGCACUGAGUUCCUUAGUUCCUCUGACCCCUGCCAGAUCUGAAGCUGUGAUGUUCAAAAGUCAGGGCAGAGUCAAUCUUAUGACUGAGUUUCAUAAGAGUCUAAGCUGCUCAUCAACAUACUGUGGCAGAGUAAGCUUUCUGGGUUCCAGAAUUUAUUUUGAGUGGGUUGAGGGAGUUGAGAAAUGGCAUGGGAGGCCUAAAGAUGAAAGGACUUUUGAAUGAAAGUUAUAGGAAAGUGGAUUUGAGAUCAAAACAAGCGAAGGUUGACCAUAGUUGGAACCAUUUAAGAUUGGUGGGGGUAGUGGGCUUCCGGUUCUUAACCAAGGCCAGGCAGAGGUGUGACAACAGUCAGGGGUUUCUAAACGGGAUGGGAGGUUGGAUUAGAUGAGCCUUCAACCUUUGUGUUGAACUAAAAUCCUAGCUCUGCUUUCAACUCCUAGACUCCCUUUUAUCAUUGCUAAAUUGGAAAGAGGGAGCAACUGAGAGUCCCUGCUGGUCAUGCCUGGGGUGCCCCAGACCACAGCACUGAGCCUCAAAGGCAAGUGAGCAUAGUGUUGGGAGUUGAGCUUCUGGAUCCAUCAACUCUAUCUGAUGACUCGGAAGUUCCUUCAGUUCCCGACACUGGAGUCCAGCAAGGCUGGUUUGUCUUGUUUUAAUUAUUAUUUAGAUGACUAUUUGGCUCAUACCUGAGCAAGGUUUGAAUCAAGUCAGACCUGUUAAUUGAAUCAAAGUUAUAUAAUCACAUUUGGGCACUUAAAUGUAAACCAAUUAUGUUGUAGCCCUAGUAUCUUGUACUCAGGAGGGAGUUCUAAUAAGUGCUGGGAAUGUAUGCUAAUGCACAAAGCCUAACCCCCAGAGUGGAGGGUGGAGCACUCCAGGGCACUCCUGUUUCGGUGACAUUGUUGUAAUAGUUAGCGCUCUGGGCGCAGUCUGGUAAGAUACUGGAAACAUCUCAAACAAGUAUGACAUCCAUUCUACCCAAGCCCAUGGAACCCAUUACGUUUGGAACAUGUCUUUCUGUGGCGCUUGGCUUGGCUUAUAAAUGUACUAUCAGAAUCUGUGGGAGGCUUUCGCAAGAAGACCUUUCUUGGCCUUUCUGGUUAUCAGCAUUCCCUCCACCUCUCUCUUAACAAACAUGCCGUAAGGCCUGAUCAGGCAUUUAGUUUUUCCAUGUGGACCUUUUUCUAGUUCCUAAUCUCAACCCCAAUGCCUCUUAAUCUUGUACUUCUUCAAAUAUUGCCCCCCCCCCCCCCCACUGUGAGAGAGAGAGGAAAGUAAGGAGGAGAAGGAGGAAAAGUUAUUGAAUUGAUAUGAGGGUAGUCAACCUAAAGCAACAAUCAGGAGGAAGGCACUGGACUUGAGUUUGAAGUGUUUGUCACUGAACUCUCUCAAACUCAUCCAGGCUAACUAGCCUCAGAGGGCUUCUAGCCCAUAGUCUUCUUGUAUUUUCUGCCCUCCUCACUUGAAGGGGGAGGGAACCAGUUGUCCAGUCUCUGUCCAAUGUUAAGAACUGGCCUGACAGGCUUUGUUGAGACCAUCCAGCCUUGAAAGCCUCACAACCAAAUGCCAUCACAGAUACUUUCUGCCCUUAGCCCUUGUCUGUGUCUCCUACAUGAACUCAGACUGCCUCUGAAGAGGGACAUUCUAGGGAGAGUUUCAUCUUCAUCACCAUCCUGGAUAGGGAACCUUUCCAGACUCAGAGUUGCAAAAGUCAGGGAGAGGCUGCUCACUGGAGGUGGAGUCCUUUGGCCAGGUUUCACUGUAAACACAUGGCUAAAAUGUGUUGCACAUGGACAGGCAUGCUAGUGUGUCCUGUAUUUAUGCUAGUGUGUCUCAUACAGCUUCUGGCUAAAGGACAUUGACCUCAGCAAGGCCAAAUGAGGCAUCAGGAUGAACUCUUCCAAUAGACUUCAUUAGACCCACAGAAGACUGACCUUUGCCUGACUUUGGAUUACCCCUUUCUUGCCAGGAAUUAUGUCCAAUGACUGUAUCUGGAACUAGAGGUCUUGAUAGCCACACUUUGCUUCGUGUGGCUUCUCAGUCUUUUGAGACACGGCUAUCAAGGGCUCAUGUUUAUUCCAGGUCAUCCCUUUACCCCUUUCCUCCAGGGGCAUCUAUGGCAACAAAAGACCAUGAUAUCUGGCAGCGCUGGCAGGACUAUUUAGUUUAGGCAGGAAUGUGAGUGUUAGCAUGUCAGAGUACAUCUGAGAAAACAUUACAAACCAACCUUUCCACACUGGGAACUCAACCCCCAGGAAUCACCAAAGAUAAGGGCAACAGUCUUAUCUCUCAGAGGGAAGUUCAGGGUAAAGGCUGCUCCUGCUGUGGACCAGAGCUCAGGGAAGAAGAAGGCUCAGGCGGACCCUGCCUGUCCACUUGACGAACUUCCACAAAUGCCACUCUGGGGACUGAGGCAUACGAAGUGGGGAAGAAAAUACCAGUCUUGCCCUGGAGCUCUGGGGUGGUGGCUGUACACCCCUAAAGAUGCCAGCAGAUCUGAAUUGUGGCCUAUGUGUGUUUGGGAAUUGGGAAAUAAGGAGAUAGAGGGACAGCAGGCAGGGAAAACUACAAUUAGACUCAACUUGCACAGAUCUGGGAGUAUGUGGAUCUGAAUUGUGGCCUCCAUGCAUUUGGCUGAAGGAUAACGAUCUCAGGCCCCAACUUUUUUUUUUUUUUUUUUUUGUAUCACUUGCUCAGAGGGUUCUGACCAGGAGCUUCUUUCAGAUGACACAGAUCCCGAGGAGCCACUUGCCUUCUACCCAUGACACUUCUAAGAGUGACUCUUGCCAUGUGACCAUAGAGAUAAGUGAAGGUUUUCUCCAAUGAUAUCAUUAAGAAGUCUAAACUUCUCCAAAGGGAGAGGCUGUGACUAGGAACACAAAUGUUUCAGUGUAUCACACUCAUCAUGCUCCCAGAUCUGCGGGCAGAAAAAGAAAUCAUAGAAUGGUACGUAUCCUAAAAAUAGAAUGAAAAUUGCUUUUCAAGUUAUGAAAUCUGGCCCUUCUCAUUGUGAGUUUAAAGUACAUGUUACUGCUUCAAUUUCUAAAACAGGAGGUGGCCAGAUUCAGAGUUUAAAAUGUCUAAGUGGUUAUUUGAAAACAGAUAUUUAGAGGCAACUGAGAGAAGAAUACUGGGGCCAUGGGUCUGCAGUCACUUUCCCAGCAGUGCUCUGAGGCCUUGGGUUUCAUAAAAGAUAAUCAUGGUUACUCCUUUUAAAGAAAGCUGAGUCUAAUUGUAGCUUUUCCUGCCUGCUGUCCCUCGAUCUCCUUAUUUCUCAAUU
This is a long non-coding RNA of Chlorocebus sabaeus (green monkey), 4929 nucleotides long. RefSeq lists it as uncharacterized. The record is from RefSeq and is a predicted model, not a curated record. NCBI's taxonomy places the organism in Eukaryota, Metazoa, Chordata, Mammalia, Primates, Cercopithecidae.